RNAcentral lists this long non-coding RNA (2649 nucleotides) under Marmota monax (woodchuck). The record is from RNAcentral. Lineage: Eukaryota; Metazoa; Chordata; Mammalia; Rodentia; Sciuridae.
UCAGAUAUGCUACAAACAUACCCUUCUUCCUGAACCAUUGGGGAAUAAAUUGCCAAUGGGAUGCUCCCUCAUGCCAAAAUAUUCCUUACAAAGAAGGACAUUUUCCUACAUAAAAUCAAAAUCAGGGAAACAAAAUGACACAAUGCUACCCUUUAAUCCAUCAUCUUCAAUCAAAUUCCAUGUGAUCCCAUCUAUGUCCUUCAAAGUACCGCAUCCAGGAUCACAGGUUGUAAGGUCAAUUUAUCUCCUAGUCUCAUUCAGUUAGGAACAUUUCCUUAAUAUUUCCUAGACUUUCAUGACUUGACACUUUUGCCGAUUACACACGCCUGUUACAUUGUUGAACUUCUCUCAAUUUGGGGUUAUUUGAUGUUUUCUUAAGAUGAAAUUCAGGUUAUGUAUUUUGGGCAGGAAUAUUAUUGAAGCAGUGCUGUGUUCUUGUCGUUGUGUCUUAUCAGGUGGCAUGUUUUGAUUUGAACCUUUAUUGAUUAGGAAACUAUCUGCCAGGUUUUUCCAUUAUGAAGUUAUUCUUUUUUCUUUCUUUCUUUUUUUUUUUUUUGGUAACAAUAUGUGUUUUGUGAAUGUACUUGGAGGCUAUGUACAUAUCUAAUUCUUCAUCAAACCUCGGUCCACUACCUAUUAGUAUCCAUUAUGCUUCUUGGCUGAACCAGUUACCAGGGUAAAACCAAAUUACUGCUUACAUCCUGCACAGGCCAUGGAAAUAGGGUUCCUCUUGGUGCAACAGGCUGGCUGCGGAAUAAAGUCUAAGACAAAUAGAGCAAUGAAAAAACCACAGAACAGGAAAUAUUUUUUUAAAAGUGGGGGCAGGACGGGCUAGCAGGUCCCACGGAUGGAACUUCCACACUAAAAAAAGCAAAAUGGAGCCGGCGUUUGGUUUAUUUAUAUUGGGGAACAUCAAAUGUUUUCCAUGGAAAUGUUCUUUGCCAAAAAAGGUAGAAGGUGGGCUGUUCAGUUCCCAAUGGGUUAAGCCCAUCUCUGGAGCUACUUUGAGGGAUCUCCCUGGUCAUGUGCCUUGGGUAAUCUAUUGAGUGGGAGGAGUCACAAAUAGUUCCCAAGGUUAAACCUAAAUCUCCCUGGCUUCUUCAUAAUGAGUGAAGCCCUCAAGUAAUUCACGGGUGGCUUCCUGCAUCAAAUAGUAAUUUACUGACUCCAUGGUUCUGACUACACUGGUUAGUUUGUAAUCCAUUGUAAGAAAAAGAUACAUCCUUUCCCACUUACUCAUUUACUUAGGUAAUGUGGACUCAGGAUCCUAUUUUAUUUAGUGACUUAAGUUAUGAUUAUUUAUUUUGAUGCUCAUUACUUGUUUGUUUUGAAACAGGGUCUUGUUAUGUUACCCAGGUUGGCCUUGAACUCCACGGAUCAAGCAAUCCUCCUGUCUCUGCCUCCCAAAUAGCAGACUACAGGAGUGUGCCAAUGUGGCUGGCUAAUGAUGCUCAUCACUUCUUUUCAGGACUCAUGGAUCCCUAUUUUAUUACAUGGAUUUGUGAUAUGUUACUAUUUAUAUUUGUGCCUCAGUUGUCCCAUGCUUGGAUGGGAGAGUCCUCUUUUAACUGUCUUUUGUCUUUUGAUGUGUAAUCAUCACUUUCUGAUCCAACAAGGUGCUUGGUAUUGGGGUGUUGAUGCUCCCAGGUCCUCUCAGACACCACUAGAGAAUAUGUGCAUGUGCAUGUACAUACAUAUGUAACCACAUCUAUAUUAGUUUCCUAUCCCUAUUGAAAAUUCCACUUCAAUUUCACAUAACUCAUUCUAAUUUUCUCAUCUGUAUUUCCCUUCAUCUGCAAUAUUUUUACUUAUUUGAUCAAUCCCCUCCACAUAACCAAGUUUACAUCACCACGGCCACCCCCAUCCCACUCCAUUGGACAAUAUUCUCACUUGCUUGAUACCAACAGAUUACCCCAAACCCCUACUCCCUUGACUCCUCUGACUUUCCCAUUCUUACUUUGCUCAGCCUCAUCUUAUAUUUAGAGAGAAUUGUUUUGAAAGAGAGAAUGGGUGGAAGCAAGCUUUUAAAUUUUUAUUGUAAUAGAAACUAAUACAAAAGAAAAACAUAGAGAGAAAGGAUUUUAAUUUUUUCCAGACAUCUUCUAAUUGUUUCAGUACAAUAGUCUAAGUAAAUAGAAAGUUAUUUUCAUCAAGUUAUAUUAUGUGAUAUUUUAAUGUGAAAAUUGUGAGGAAAAGUUCUUUCUAUUCUUUUCUAGGUUUCCUUUUUUUCUUUCCAUUUCUAUUCUCUCAUGGAUGACUGAAGAGAGAGCAAAGAAAUGAUAUCACAGGUUGAUCUAAUAAGUAAUGAUAGAAAAAUCAAUUGAGAAAUGUAUGGUUUAAUGUAAAACUCUCUUAUUGAAAAAUUACAUAUUUAGUACCUUAAGAGAAACUCAGGCUGGCUUCAGUGAUCUGCACCUGUAGUCCCAGCUACUCGGGAGGCUAGGGCAGGAUUGGGUAAUAUAGUGAGAUAGUGAGACCCUCAUGUAAAACAAAAGUUAGAAAUUUAUAACUUUGCUUAUUAACUCUUAGGAAAGAACUUAUUAUAGGUUGAAUAUGUCUCAUCCAAAAUGUUUGAGACGAGGAACAUUUCAGAUUUUGGAAUAUCUACAAUUAAACAUGUGUUGUUCACCCAAGAUGGGAUCCAUCAAG